RNAcentral lists this ribosomal RNA (398 nucleotides) under uncultured bacterium. Its description in RNAcentral is "partial 16S ribosomal RNA". It matches the Rfam family "Bacterial small subunit ribosomal RNA", at positions 523 to 918 of the family's 1533-position model. The record is from RNAcentral.
AUACGUAGGGUGCGAGCGUUGUCCGGAAUUACUGGGCGUAAAGAGCUCGUAGGUGGUUUGUCGCGUCGUCUGUGAAAUUCCGGGGCUUAACUCCGGGCGUGCAGGCGAUACGGGCAUAACUUGAGUACUGUAGGGGAGACUGGAAUUCCUGGUGUAGCGGUGAAAUGCGCAGAUAUCAGGAGGAACACCGGUGGAGAAGGGGGGUCUCUGGGCAGUAACUGACGCUGAGGAGCGAAAGCAUGGGUAGCGAACAGGAUUAGAUACCCUGGUAGUCCAUGCCGUAAACGGUGGGCGCUAGGUGUAGGGGUCUUCCACGACUUCUGUGCCGUAGCUAACGCAUUAAGCGCCCCGCCUGGGGAGUACGGCCGCAAGGCUAAAACUCAAAUGAAUUGACGGGG